RNAcentral lists this ribosomal RNA (440 nucleotides) under uncultured bacterium. RNAcentral describes it as "partial 16S ribosomal RNA". It matches the Rfam family "Bacterial small subunit ribosomal RNA", at positions 338 to 795 of the family's 1533-position model. The record is from RNAcentral.
CCUACGGGAGGCAGCAGUAGGGAAUAUUGCACAAUGGGGGAAACCCUGAAGCAGCAACGCCGCGUGGAUGAUGAAGGUUUUCGGAUUGUAAAGUCCUUUUGUUAGAGAGGAUAGUGACGGUAUCUAACGAAUAAGCACCGGCUAACUCCGGGCCAGCAGCCGCGGUAAUACGGAGGGUGCACGCGUUACUAGGAAUCACUGGGCGUAAAGAGCGCGGAGGCGGGAUAGCAAGUCGGAUGUGAAAUCCUAUGGCUUAACCAUAGAACUGCAUUUGAAACUGUCAUUCUAGAGUAUGGGAGAGGGAGGUGGAAUUCUUGGUGUAGGGGUAAAAUGCGUAGAGAUCAAGAGGAAUACUCAUGGCGAAGGCGACCUGCUAGAAAAAGACUGACGCUGAGGCGCGAAAGCGUGGGGAGCAAACAGGAUUAGAUACCCGGGUAGUC